UACGGGAGGCAGCAGUGGGGAAUAUUGCACAAUGGGGGCAACCCUGAUGCAGCCAUGCCGCGUGUGUGAAGAAGGCCUUCGGGUUGUAAAGCACUUUCAGUCGUGAGGAAAGGUUAGUAGUUAAUACCUGCUAGCUGUGACGUUAACAACAGAAGAAGCACCGGCUAACUCCGUGCCAGCAGCCGCGGUAAUACGGAGGGUGCGAGCGUUAAUCGGAAUUACUGGGCGUAAAGCGCACGCAGGCGGUUUGUUAAGUUAGAUGUGAAAGCCCCGGGCUCAACCUGGGAAGGUCACUUAAAACUGGCAGUCUAGAAUCUGGGAGAGGGGAGUGGAAUUUCAGGUGUAGCGGUGAAAUGUGUAGAUAUAUGGAGGAACAUCAGUGGCGAAGGCGACUCCCUGGCCAAAGAUUGACGCUCAUGUGCGAAAGUGUGGGGAGCGAACAGGAUUAGAUACCCUGGUAGUCCACACCGUAAACGCUGUCUACUAGC
This 488-nucleotide ribosomal RNA is filed under the name uncultured Alteromonas sp. Its description in RNAcentral is "bacterial SSU rRNA". It matches the Rfam family "Bacterial small subunit ribosomal RNA", at positions 340 to 820 of the family's 1533-position model. Lineage: Bacteria; Pseudomonadati; Pseudomonadota; Gammaproteobacteria; Alteromonadales; Alteromonadaceae. The record is from RNAcentral.